Molecule: non-coding RNA, 995 nt
Filed under: Beta vulgaris subsp. vulgaris (sugar beet)
Lineage: Eukaryota; Viridiplantae; Streptophyta; Magnoliopsida; Caryophyllales; Amaranthaceae
Description: Bacterial large subunit ribosomal RNA
Rfam family: Bacterial large subunit ribosomal RNA
Source: Rfam by way of RNAcentral
UUCAUUGCCUCAAUAAGUUGCCUCUAUAACCAAAUUUUAUUGUAGUGGAGGAAGGGAGUAUUAAUCGACGAAAUGCUUCGGGGAGUUGAAAAUAAGCAGAGAUCUGGAGAUUUCCGAAUAGGUCAACCUUUCGAACUUCUGCUGAAUCCAUGGGCAGGAAAGAUACAACCUGGCGAACUCAAACAUCGUAGUAGCUAGAGGAAAAGAAAGCAAAAGCGAUUCCCGUAGUAGCGGCGAGCGAAAUGGGAGCAACCUAAACCGUGAAAAGGGGGUUGUGGGACACUAAUAGAAGCGACAUGUUGCUAGGCAAAUCUGGGGAGUGCGGGACCCUAUAUGGUGAAAGUCCAGUAGCCGAAAGCAUCACUAGCUUACGCUCUGACCCGAGUAGCAUGGGGCACGUGGAAUCCCGUGUGAAUCAGCAAGGACUACCUUACAAGGCUAAAUACUCCUGGGUGACCAAUAGCGAAGUAGUACCGUGAGGGAAGGGUGAAAAGAACCCCCGUGGAGGAGUGAAAUAGAACAUGAAACCGUCAGCUCUCAAGCAGCGGGAGGGGUGUGCCUCUGACCGCAUGCCUGUUGAAGAAUGAGCAGGCGACUCAUAGGCAGUGGCUUGGUUAAGGGAACCCAGCGGAGCCGUAGCGAAAGAUAGUCUUCAUAGCGCAAUUAUCACUGCUUGUGGACCCGAACCUGGGUGAUCUAUCCGUGACCAGAAUGAAGCUUGGGUGAAACUAAGUGGAGGUCCGAACCGACUAAUGUUGAAGAAUCAGCGGAUGAGUUAUCGUUAGGGGUUAAAUGCCACUCGAACCCAUAGCUAGGUGGUUCUCCCCGAAAUCCAUUGAGGCGCAGUAGUUGACUAGACAUAAAUGGAUAAAGCACUGUUUCGGUGCGGGCCGCGAAAACAAUACCAAAUUGAGGCAAACUCUAAAUACUUGAUAUGACCUCCAAAUAACAGGGGUCGGCUAGUGAGACGAUGGGGGAUAAGCUUCAUCGUCGAG